AGGACGAACGCUGGCGGCGUGCUUAACACAUGCAAGUCGAACGGAAAGUGCUCAGCUUGCUGGGUGACUCGAGUGGCGAACGGGUGAGUAACACGUGGGUGAUCUGCCCUGCACUUUGGGAUAAGCCUGGGAAACUGGGUCUAAUACCGAAUAUUCCUUGCUGGUCGCAUGGCCUGGUGGGGAAAGCUUUUGCGGUGUGGGAUGGGCCCGCGGCCUAUCAGCUUGUUGGUGGGGUGAUGGCCUACCAAGGCGACGACGGGUA
RNAcentral lists this ribosomal RNA (262 nucleotides) under uncultured bacterium. Its description in RNAcentral is "partial small subunit ribosomal RNA". It matches the Rfam family "Bacterial small subunit ribosomal RNA", at positions 26 to 285 of the family's 1533-position model. The record is from RNAcentral.